Nephila pilipes (giant wood spider) is the source of this 88-nucleotide non-coding RNA. Lineage: Eukaryota; Metazoa; Arthropoda; Arachnida; Araneae; Nephilidae. The record is from the annotation of a GenBank genome assembly.
UCCGUGGCCUAGUGGUCAUGGCUGCGGAUUCGCAUUUCGUCGAGUCGUGGGUUCGAGCACGGAUGCCAUUAAAGCCCCACCGAAAAAU